Molecule: long non-coding RNA, 435 nt
Organism: Anthonomus grandis grandis
Lineage: Eukaryota; Metazoa; Arthropoda; Insecta; Coleoptera; Curculionidae
Exons: 2
Source: RefSeq, a predicted model, not a curated record
GAAAAUCCUGUUAAUUCAGGUUAAGUUUUUUUUAUUUGUGCUAAAUUACGACCAACCAUUUUCCUCGCAUCGUAUUUUCCUUGCAAAUUCUUCCUGGGGGUUGUUACACUCAGAAAGUACGGAGCAGGAGGCAGCCCACCAACAAAGGAACCUGAGGGACGGCGAUUUUGGCAAAUAACAAGUUGGACAUACCUCAUGGACCUGCAGUUUGGUGGAGUGUCUCAUGCUCCGCUAUAAGUUACAGUUACGAGUUAUGAGUUGAAGUAGGAAGUAAAGAGGAAUUACUUUGCUGAGCUUAUCCUUUUCUUCAAUACUGACUAGGGUAUUAUUAGGGAUUGCAUUACCAACUCAAUCAUUACCCGCCAAUUCAGGUUAUCACAUAAUUUAGCAAUGCAUAUUAUAUAGCAUAACUCAAUAUAUAUAUUUUUGUUUUAA